CACUCUCAAGACGUGAGAGAGCGUGAGCCGGGGCGCAAAGAGACUACAGCCAGCGAGCGAGAGAGACAGAGAGAAACAGAGAGAGAGAAACAGAGAAACAGACAGAGAGAAGAAAAGAUAAAGGAAGAAGCGUGGAAGAAGCCGUGGAGACGCGUUUGGUUUUGGGCCCCUGCGCGCGCGGAUUGGAUCUUUUUUUUUUGGCAGCAUGAAAUGCUGAUUAGUGCCCCCCUCGUCUGCGUGCGUAACGCCGUGGUGCGCAUUGUCGUCUCGCCGCGGCCGCUGCUGCUGGGAGCUCUACGAGAAACUUAACUUUUUUACGCGUUUUAACGAUUUUAACGCGUUUUACGCUUUUGUAUUUCUGUUCCCCCGCGUUAUUUAUUGACCAUUGAUCGGCCUUUUCCACUGUGGAUUGUAAGAAAGUGAUCAGAAGGAGGACGCACGCGCCGAGCUUGUGUGGAUUUCCCUCUUUUUCCAUUCCCUUACGCCUUUUUCCUUUUAUUCUGAGGAUUUUCUCGCAGGUGCCUCUUGACUGGGGCAGUAUGGGAGUGCUACUCUGACCCCCCCCCCCCCCCUCCUCUUCUUCUUCUUCCCCUCCUCCUCCUCCUUCUUCUCCUCAGUGUCACGGGUUUUGCUCCACUGUAGAGAGAAAGAAGAGGCCUGUGAUUCUCCCUGUUCCCUUCAAGACUUCACCUCCUUUAAACAUAUUUCCCUACGAACUUUUUUUGAGGGGGAAAAGCCAAAAAACAUGAACUUUGGUGUCUAUUCGCUGCACUUGGUUUUAGCAGCGCUGCUUCACGCGUCUGCACUGAAGGCAGCACACAUACCUCCCAAAGACGGAGGGAAAAGCAAAAAUGAAGUGGUUCCCUUUAUGGAUGUCUACACGAAAAGCCAGUGUAACACCCGGGAGGUUCUCGUAGACAUCUUGCAGGAGUAUCCGGACGAUAUAGAGUCCACCUACAUCCCGUCCUGUGUAGUUCUCAACCGCUGUGCGGGCUGCUGCAACGAUGAAGCGCUGGAGUGCGGCCCCAAGGAGACGCAAACCGUCACCAUGGAGGUAUUAAGAGUGAGGCAAGGUUUUGCACAACAUAAAUAUCAGUUGAAUUUCACAGAACAUACAAAAUGUGAAUGCAGACCAAAACAAGAACUCAAAACAAAGAAAGAAAAAAAACCCCGAAAGGGCAAAGGUCAAAAGAGAAAGGCAGAGAGGCUGAGAGGCGACGGGCCCCAGGCCCACAGCAGCGGGAGCACUCCUCUGCAGCCCGGCCCCGUGUGCCUCGCGCUUGCGGCUCUGGUGUUAGAGCAGUGCGUCUGGUUCUCCAGCUGCUGAGCGUUUGCUUCUCUCUUUGCCGACCGUUAGCUUGAGGCUGGUACGGGGUCGCGGCUCAGGGGCAGCAGGAGAGAUGUGACAAGCCAAGGAGAUGAUUGGACUUUGUAUGUCAGACGUCGACGGACACUGAAAUGUAUGAAGGAAUUCUUUCAAAUGGCACUUUCUUCUUUUUUUUCAACCUGUGGACCAUACUGCAUAACACGACUCCAGAACACAGAGACAGAGGCAGGAUAACCACCCCGCUGACAUAACUAUAUAUAUAUAUAUAUAUAUAUAUAUAUAUAUAUAUAUAUAUAUAUAUAUGAAGAGAGACUUUGACAAUGUGUAAUGCUGCUAUGGGAAACACAAACACGUGGUGAACGACAGUGCCUCCAGUUUCUGUACACGAGAGAGAUGGAUGUGUUUUUAGUGCCAGUGCCAGUUUGGACCUGCGUGUGAUUGGACACAGAACAGAACGUCCACACGGGACACACGACUUCUCUGACCUAAGCUGCUGUGGAUUCAUAUUCAACGGCGAUCCGCAAACACGAACUCUGUGCAAGACGACGGAGGACGGAUCGCCUGGGGCUGCGUUCCAAUCGGACGAAACGGCAGGUCCUCGUUGGGAAGUGUACGGAAAAAAAAAAAACGAAGAAGAAAAAAAAGCGGAAUGAUCUCCUGUGAGGACUCUCUGAAAGCGAGGGACAAAGUCUUACUCAAACACGACGACUGUACUAACACGCAAUAGAACUGAGUGUGUAAAUAAUAAAGGGAUAUUAAACGUCGGUAUAUACGGAGAGAUAACGGUUCAAUUCCCCUUGUUGCCCAAAGAGACGAGUUUAGGAACUGCUCACUCUGCCACCGUGACCGUGGGUCUGUAUAUAUACAUGACUAAUAUCCCUUUCAGCUAGUACACUACAUCUAAUUUAUAAAUUUAGAGUAUUUCAGUAUUCUGUAUUUAAUUUCAUCUAUUUAUAUGUUUGUUUGUUUUUUCGUUUGUUAUUGUUAUUGUUCAUCAUUUCUACACCAAUCUGCCUGAAUCUGAGUUUUGUUCACAGCAGAAAGUCUUAAACAUUCCGGAAUAAAGGCCUUUAUUUUUGUUAGGGGAAAGGGGGGUUUCUGUGGGGGGGGGGGGGGGGGGGGUGCCGUAGACCUGCUGCCAAAUUAGUGUGCUAGGAGCGAACGAUUGGACCUGCGCUGACCGGUGCUGACCGCCUGACCUCGGCACUGGACGGCGUGAACCGAAAGAGAAAAAAGUAAACAGAGCUCGAUCUCUUCCCAUUGAGAAAAUAAAACACACAUUCUAUUUGUA
Molecule: RNA transcript, 2618 nt
Organism: Astyanax mexicanus (Mexican tetra)
Lineage: Eukaryota; Metazoa; Chordata; Actinopteri; Characiformes; Acestrorhamphidae
Gene: vegfaa
Gene name: vascular endothelial growth factor Aa
Exons: 7
Source: RefSeq, a predicted model, not a curated record